UGGUAUAAGUAAUAAUUCUUUUUUUUUUUAUGCAUUAGAAAUAUAUUAUAUAUAUAAAGGUUGUAUGCAUAAGAUUUUGUUCUUUAAGACUAUCUUUUUGAUGUUUCGUGGGCAUGUUGGUAUAAGUAAUAAUUCUUUUUUUUUUUUUUGCAACUACAUAAUUAUUUAUCUUUAUUAUUAGUAUUUUCAUAGUGAAUGACUAUAUUUCUUAUAUACCGUCCAAAUCUUUUCUUUUCCGGUGGUUUUUCAGGUUUUUUUUUUCUUUUUUUUUCUGUUUGUGGAAGAGUUUUGUAAUCUUUUUAUUUAUUC
This 309-nucleotide long non-coding RNA is filed under the name Capsella rubella. RNAcentral describes it as "long non-coding RNA (CRUB_LNC004109)". Lineage: Eukaryota; Viridiplantae; Streptophyta; Magnoliopsida; Brassicales; Brassicaceae. The record is from RNAcentral.